Molecule: ribosomal RNA, 489 nt
Filed under: uncultured bacterium
Lineage: Bacteria
Description: partial 16S ribosomal RNA
Rfam family: Bacterial small subunit ribosomal RNA
Source: RNAcentral
AUUGAACGCUGGCGGCAUGCUUUACACAUGCAAGUCGAACGGCAGCACGAAAGAGCUUGCUCUUUUGGUGGCGAGUGGCGAACGGGUGAGUAAUGCAUCGGAACGUACCGAGUAAUGGGGGAUAACUGUCCGAAAGGAUAGCUAAUACCGCAUACGCUUUGAGAAGGAAAGUGGGGGCUCUUCGGACCUCACGUUAUUCGAGCGGCCGAUGUCUGAUUAGCUAGUUGGUGGGGUAAAGGCCUACCAAGGCGACGAUCAGUAGCGGGUCUGAGAGGAUGAUCCGCCACACUGGGACUGAGACACGGCCCAGACUCCUACGGGAGGCAGCAGUGGGGAAUUUUGGACAAUGGGCGCAAGCCUGAUCCAGCCAUGCCGCGUGUCUGAAGAAGGCCUUCGGGUUGUAAAGGACUUUUGUUAGGGAAGAAAAGGAUAGUGUUAUACCAUUAUCUGCUGACGGUACCUAAAGAAUAAGCACCGGCUAACUACGUG